Molecule: long non-coding RNA, 458 nt
Organism: Cyprinodon variegatus (sheepshead minnow)
Lineage: Eukaryota; Metazoa; Chordata; Actinopteri; Cyprinodontiformes; Cyprinodontidae
Exons: 4
Source: RefSeq, a predicted model, not a curated record
ACAGACAGAGCAGGACUUUUAUGGUCUGAAGAAGAGCAGGUCUGGAAGUGAGGAUGGGGCUCACUUUGCUCUGCAGGCUGGGCUUCUUCUUGAUUUGCACACUCUGCUGUGGAUAUGCUGAAGAACAUGAAAGCAAAGCCACUCUGACAGCGAAUAUAACAGAAAUACCAGCAGGGGGCAGUGUGACGCUGACAUGUUCUGUGGACAAACCUGCUGAAUUAAAAUAUCAGCUUUUCAGACGGACCUCCUCCACAGAUCAGACCAAUGUAGAUGAACAACCUGAUGGACGUUUCAGAGUCUCAGAAGGAGGAAUCUACACCUGCAGAGGAUAUGAUAAAGACAGACACACCACAACUUCUCUGAGUAAUGAAGUUGUUAUUUAUGCAACUGGUGAGUUUAGAUGUUUAGUCAGAUUUCUGAAAUUCUUUAAUUGUUUUUUUAAUUCUUGUUAAUGAACA